RNAcentral lists this ribosomal RNA (254 nucleotides) under uncultured bacterium. RNAcentral describes it as "partial 16S ribosomal RNA". It matches the Rfam family "Bacterial small subunit ribosomal RNA", at positions 524 to 776 of the family's 1533-position model. The record is from RNAcentral.
UACGGGGGGAGCAAGCGUUGUUCGGAUUUACUGGGCGUAAAGGGCGCGUAGGCGGCCAGCACAAGUCAGUUGUGAAAUCUCCGAGCUUAACUCGGAAAGGUCAACUGAUACUGUGCGGCUAGAGUGCAGAAGGGGCGACUGGAAUUCUUGGUGUAGCGGUGAAAUGCGUAGAUAUCAAGAGGAACACCUGCGGCGAAGGCGGGUUGCUGGGCUGACACUGACGCUGAGGCGCGAAAGCUAGGGGAGCGAACGGG